CUCCAAUCUCCCGAACGGGACCCGUACGGGUGCUCCAACUCCCGAACAGUAAACCCACGAAUCGCUGCUAACAGCCGCAUAAAUAUAUCCUCCAAGCGGCUUACGCUUCCAUCAAACAGUCGCUAUACGUGUGUAGUAAAUCCUCCCAAUAACCAGACCAAGUUCCGAAUUAAGGGUAAAACAAGAACUGGCUUUACUGUGGGCUACCCGCCCAUAUUUAUGCAGGUCUCCCACUUGGUGGACACUCCCCUAGGGGACCAAAUGGGAGACUGUAAUGGCAGACAGACAUAUAGCAUGUUAGAACACACAGGCACAGAAUAUUCCCAGCAUGCAUCAUGAUUUCCUCCCCUCUGCCCUGGAGAUAAUUGAGAAUGAAUUAAAUUAUCUCCUAGGAUUAUCUCCCAUCGCCAUUUUAAAUAAAGCCUGAAAAACACAUAAAAAUAAAUAAUUACACAACUACCGAACAUAUUAUAUUUGUGUAACACAUCCCCAGAUAGCCUGGAUCUGAGUGCAUAUUCUUAGCGAAUAGCGCUCAGAUCUAGUGAUGUCCCGAACGGUUCGCCGGCAAAUAGUUCCCGGCGAACAUAGCUUGUUUGCGUUCGCCAUGGAUGGCGAACAUAUGCGAUGUUCGGUC
Non-coding RNA from Pelobates cultripes (western spadefoot toad), 634 nucleotides. The record is from the annotation of a GenBank genome assembly. NCBI's taxonomy places the organism in Eukaryota, Metazoa, Chordata, Amphibia, Anura, Pelobatidae.